Molecule: ribosomal RNA, 496 nt
Filed under: uncultured bacterium
Lineage: Bacteria
Description: partial 16S ribosomal RNA
Rfam family: Bacterial small subunit ribosomal RNA
Source: RNAcentral
AUGAACGCUGGCGGCGUGCCUAAUACAUGCAAGUCGAGCGAACAGACGAGGAGCUUGCUCCUCUGACGUUAGCGGCGGACGGGUGAGUAACACGUGGAUAACCUACCUAUAAGACUGGGAUAACUUCGGGAAACCGGAGCUAAUACCGGAUAAUAUAUUGAACCGCAUGGUUCAAUAGUGAAAGACGGUUUUGCUGUCACUUAUAGAUGGAUCCGCGCCGCAUUAGCUAGUUGGUAAGGUAACGGCUUACCAAGGCAACGAUGCGUAGCCGACCUGAGAGGGUGAUCGGCCAAACUGGAACUGAGACACGGUCCAGACUCCUACGGGAGGCAGCAGUAGGGAAUCUUCCGCAAUGGGCGAAAGCCUGACGGAGCAACGCCGCGUGAGUGAUGAAGGUCUUCGGAUCGUAAAACUCUGUUAUUAGGGAAGAACAAAUGUGUAAGUAACUAUGCACGUCUUGACGGUACCUAAUCAGAAAGCCACGGCUAACUACGUG